This 446-nucleotide ribosomal RNA is filed under the name uncultured bacterium. Its description in RNAcentral is "partial 16S ribosomal RNA". It matches the Rfam family "Bacterial small subunit ribosomal RNA", at positions 29 to 523 of the family's 1533-position model. The record is from RNAcentral.
AACGAACGCUGGCGGCAGGCUUAACACAUGCAAGUCGAGCGCCCCGCAAGGGGAGCGGCAGACGGGUGAGUAACGCGUGGGAAUCUACCGUGCCCUACGGAAUAGCUCCGGGAAACUGGAAUAAUACCGUAUACGCCCUACGGGGGAAAGAUUUAUCGGGGUAUGAUGAGCCCGCGUUGGAUUAGCUAGUUGGUGGGGUAAAGGCCUACCAAGGCGACGAUCCAUAGCUGGUCUGAGAGGAUGAUCAGCCACAUUGGGACUGAGACACGGCCCAAACUCCUGCGGGAGGCAGCAGUGGGGAAUAUUGGACAAUGGGCGCAAGCCUGAUCCAGCCAUGCCGCGUGAGUGAUGAAGGUCUUAGGAUUGUAAAGCUCUUUCACCGGUGAAGAUAAUGACGGUAACCGGAGAAGAAGCCCCGGCUAACUUCGUGCCAGCCGCCGCCGUAA